UCCGAGGGGGGCGAGCGUUGUUCGGAAUUAUUGGGCGUAAAGGGCGCGUAGGCGGCCCCUUUUGUCGCGUGUGAAAGCCCCGGGCUCAACCUGGGAGGUGCGCGCGAAACGGGGGGGCUUGAGUUCGGGAGAGGAGCGUGGAAUUCCCAGUGUAGAGGUGAAAUUCGUAGAUAUGGGGAAGAACACCGGUGGCGAAGGCGGCGCUCUGGACCGAGACUGACGCUGAGGCGCGAAAGCGUGGGGAGCAAACAGG
Molecule: ribosomal RNA, 253 nt
Filed under: uncultured bacterium
Lineage: Bacteria
Description: partial 16S ribosomal RNA
Rfam family: Bacterial small subunit ribosomal RNA
Source: RNAcentral